UGCCCAGCAACUCCUAUCCCUACCUCCUCGCGGUACUGGCCGGGGUACGAGCAACCUUAGGGAAGAUCGGGUAACCAACCCCCGGUGGGAACUUUGGUCGUAUGCUGACAGGGAAGG
Molecule: ribozyme, 117 nt
Filed under: Aedes aegypti (yellow fever mosquito)
Lineage: Eukaryota; Metazoa; Arthropoda; Insecta; Diptera; Culicidae
Description: drz-agam-1 ribozyme
Rfam family: drz-agam-1 ribozyme
Source: Rfam by way of RNAcentral